Non-coding RNA from Capsicum annuum, 90 nucleotides. The record is from Rfam. Lineage: Eukaryota; Viridiplantae; Streptophyta; Magnoliopsida; Solanales; Solanaceae.
CUGCUGUGAUGAUACUCAGAACUUAUUGAAAGUCUUGGUACUUGAUGAAACCAUCAACAUUAUGUUGAUCCUGAGCGGUUACCUGAGCAG